GUUUUUAAUAGUUGAAUACAACGGCGGUUUUUCGGGUCGCAGGUUUUGGUUAUAGGCCAAAUUAAAAUA
Non-coding RNA from Podarcis muralis (Common wall lizard), 69 nucleotides. NCBI's taxonomy places the organism in Eukaryota, Metazoa, Chordata, Lepidosauria, Squamata, Lacertidae. The record is from the annotation of a RefSeq genome assembly.